GACGAACGCUGGCGGCGUGCUUAACACAUGCAAGUCGAACGGAAAGGCCCUGCUUUUGUGGGGUGCUCGAGUGGCGAAAGGGUGAGUAACACGUGAGUAACCUGCCCUUGACUUUGGGAUAACUUCAGGAAACUGGGGCUACUACCGGAUAGGAGCUCCUGCUGCAUGGUGGGGGUUGGAAAGUUUCGGCGGUUGGGGAUGGACUCGCGGCUUAUCAGCUUGUUGGUGGGGUAGUGGCUUACCAAGGCUUUGACGGGUAGCCGGCCUGAGAGUGUGACCGGCCACAUUGGGACUGAGAUACGGCCCAGACUCCUACGGGAGGCAGCAGUGGGGAAUAUUGCACAAUGGGCGGAAGCCUGAUGCAGCAACGCCGCGUGCGGGAUGGCGGCCUUCGGGUGGUAGACCGCUUUCGCCUGUGACGAAGCGUGAGUGACGGUAAUGGGUAAAGAAGCACCGGCUAACUACGUG
Molecule: ribosomal RNA, 468 nt
Filed under: uncultured bacterium
Lineage: Bacteria
Description: partial 16S ribosomal RNA
Rfam family: Bacterial small subunit ribosomal RNA
Source: RNAcentral